Molecule: ribosomal RNA, 432 nt
Filed under: uncultured bacterium
Lineage: Bacteria
Description: partial 16S ribosomal RNA
Rfam family: Bacterial small subunit ribosomal RNA
Source: RNAcentral
GAUGAACGCUGGCGGUAUGCUUAACACAUGCAAGUCGAACGGUCACUUCGGUGAUAGUGGCGGACGGGUGAGUAACGCGUGAGAAUCUGUCUUCAGGUCGGGGACAACAGUUAGAAAUGACUGCUAAUACCGGAUGUGCCUUUGGGUGAAAGAUUUAUUGCCUGAAAAAGAGCUCGCGUCAGAUUAGCUAGUAGGUGGUGUAAGAGACUACCUAGGCUCCGAUCUGUAGCUGGUCUGAGAGGACGAUCAGCCACACUGGAACUGAGACACGGUCCAGACUCCUACGGGAGGCAGCAGUGGGGAAUUUUCCGCAAUGGGCGAAAGCCUGACGGAGCAAUACCGCGUGAGGGACGAAGGCUGUUGGGUCGUAAACCUCUUUUCACAAGGAAGAUGAUGACGGUACUUGAGGAAUAAGCAUCGGCUAACUCUGUG